AGCGUAGACGGUGUGGCAAGUCUGAUGUGAAAGGCAUGGGCUCAACCUGUGGACUGCAUUGGAAACUGUCAUACUUGAGUGCCGGAGGGGUAAGCGGAAUUCCUAGUGUAGCGGUGAAAUGCGUAGAUAUUAGGAGGAACACCAGUGGCGAAGGCGGCUUACUGGACGGUAACUGACGUUGAGGCUCGAAAGCGUGGGGGGCAAACA
Molecule: ribosomal RNA, 207 nt
Filed under: uncultured bacterium
Lineage: Bacteria
Description: partial 16S ribosomal RNA
Rfam family: Bacterial small subunit ribosomal RNA
Source: RNAcentral